AGCUCAGCACAGAAAUGACAUCAUUCUUCUUCAUGGUUACUCUAAACUUUGAUCUGGAUUUAUUCUAUAAGUUUAAUUUCAGAACACAUGAACUGAACAUGAAAGUUUCAUGUCUUGAUGUCUGAUCUGUAAACUGAUGGAAAACAUUUUGUUCCUAGAAAAGUGUUGAUUGUGUCUUUGUGUGAUUCAUUUUUUAGGUGAAUCUUCUCUGUUUGAAUCAUACAAAGAUCCUGAAGAGAUUCAAAAUGAUCCAGAAGAUGAAAACAAAGGUGAAUCCAGGAAGAUGACAUAUUCUUCAAUCAAGCUUAAAGCCAUCACUAAGAAAAAAAAGAGACAGAAACCAGCAGAGAUGAUAGUUUACUCUGAUGUGAAGACAGGAGCGUCUGCAGAUGGCAGUCGGCUGUAUGCACAGAUGAUGAAGAGAAACAAAGGAAAAUCCUCUCAUUCCGCUGAUGAGAUGCUUUACUCUGAAGUCCAAUAAGGACCAGCACUUG
Long non-coding RNA from Oryzias melastigma (Indian medaka), 494 nucleotides. RefSeq lists it as uncharacterized. NCBI's taxonomy places the organism in Eukaryota, Metazoa, Chordata, Actinopteri, Beloniformes, Adrianichthyidae. The transcript is spliced from 5 exons. The record is from RefSeq and is a predicted model, not a curated record.